UCGGAACUUGGAAGCGGAUCACAGCUGCUAGGUUAAUAAAUUGAUUCUCCCGCAGGAACAAUGGAUUUCGGUGUAGCGGAACUGUUACAUGGAGGUGCUAAGAUGCAAAGGUACAUUUCCAAACAUGCCGGACAAUAUUGGCUGGAAAAUGACUUGGUUAAAAUCUGAUGAUCUUACCAGCAUUCCGCAGGUUGAUGAAUACUAAUGAAGCUGUGGGUGUCACUGAGCAGCUUCAUUUUAAAUGAGGGGUUGCUGUCUGCCUGUUGAAAGAAGUCGAUGUGCUGUGACAUUUCGAAGGUGGGAGCAUUUCUGGCUAGUGCUGCGAGAUUUACUUGUCUUAUGAAAAUCUGGUGAUUGGGAAAACCUCCAGUGGAUGUGGGAAGAAAGUUCAAGAUGAAUUAUAUUUUUACAUUGGUUUGUAAAUAGAUUCUGAACCAGCAUCGAGUCUAGAUAAUGCAUCCGUAAGAGUCAAGGCAUUUCUGUUGACCAUGACACUGCUGUAGAAUCAUGACCUGUUAAUCAGUGUAUUACUUUCUAUUUUGAAUGGAAAACUUAUCUAGUUAUCUAGCCUUGUAAUUAAA
Molecule: long non-coding RNA, 581 nt
Organism: Budorcas taxicolor (takin)
Lineage: Eukaryota; Metazoa; Chordata; Mammalia; Artiodactyla; Bovidae
Exons: 6
Source: RefSeq, a predicted model, not a curated record